Molecule: ribosomal RNA, 300 nt
Filed under: uncultured Desulfotalea sp.
Lineage: Bacteria; Pseudomonadati; Thermodesulfobacteriota; Desulfobulbia; Desulfobulbales; Desulfocapsaceae
Description: bacterial SSU rRNA
Rfam family: Bacterial small subunit ribosomal RNA
Source: RNAcentral
GGGAACUGUGGGCCAGCGGCCGAGGUAAUGCAGGGGUGGCAGGGGUUGGUCGGAGUUACUGGGCGUAAAGGGUGCGUAGGCUGCCUUGUGUGUCAGGUGUGAAAUCCCACGGCUCACCCGUGGAAAUGCACUUGAAACUGCAGGGAUCGAGUUCAGGAGAGGUAAGCGGAAUUCUUGGUGUAGCAGUGAAAUGCGUAGAUAUCAAGAGGAACACCGGUGGCGAAGGCGGCUUACUGGACUGAUACUGACGCUGAGGCACGAAAGCCAGGGUAGCAAAAAGGAUUAGAUACCCUUGUAGUC